GUAACACGUAGUCAACCUGCCCUGGAGACUCGAUAACCCCGGGAAACUGGGACUAAUCUGUGAUAGGUCACCUCAUCUGGAAGGAGAGGUGGCCCAAAAGGGAAUCGUGGGCUUCCACUUUUCUUGCUCCAGGAUGGGACUGCGGCCGAUCAGGCUGUUGGCGGGGUAAUGGCCCACCAAACCUGUAACCGGUACGGGCCUUGAGAGAGGUGGCCCGGAGAUGGACACUGAGACAAGGGUCCAGGUCCUACGGGGCGCAGCAGGCGCGAAACCUUCGCAAUGCGCGAAAGCGUGACGAGGUUAAUCCGAGUGGCUUCCGCUGAGGAAGUCUUUUGCCGACUGUAAAAAGGUCGGAGAAUAAGGGGAGGGCAAGUCUGGUGUCAGCCGCCGCGGUAAUACCAGCUCCUCGAGUGGUCGGGGCGAUUAUUGGGCCUAAAGCAUCCGUAGCCUGUUCCGUAGGUCUCCUGCAAAAUCCAGUCGCUCAACGAUUGGCCCGCAGGAGAUACCGCGGGACU
This 515-nucleotide ribosomal RNA is filed under the name uncultured archaeon. RNAcentral describes it as "bacterial SSU rRNA". It matches the Rfam family "Archaeal small subunit ribosomal RNA", at positions 93 to 593 of the family's 1478-position model. The record is from RNAcentral.